This 88-nucleotide transfer RNA is filed under the name Legionella pneumophila. Its description in RNAcentral is "tRNA-Ser". It matches the Rfam family "tRNA". Rfam says of the family: Transfer RNA (tRNA) molecules are approximately 80 nucleotides in length. Their secondary structure includes four short double-helical elements and three loops (D, anti-codon, and T loops). Further hydrogen bonds mediate the characteristic L-shaped molecular structure. tRNAs have two regions of fundamental functional importance: the anti-codon, which is responsible for specific mRNA codon recognition, and the 3' end, to which the tRNAs corresponding amino acid is attached (by aminoacyl-tRNA synthetases). tRNAs cope with the degeneracy of the genetic code in two manners: having more than one tRNA (with a specific anti-codon) for a particular amino acid; and 'wobble' base-pairing, i.e. permitting non-standard base-pairing at the 3rd anti-codon position. Lineage: Bacteria; Pseudomonadati; Pseudomonadota; Gammaproteobacteria; Legionellales; Legionellaceae. RNAcentral also lists the same sequence under 10 other names. The record is from RNAcentral.
GGAGAGGUGGCUGAGCGGUUGAAAGCGGCGGUCUUGAAAACCGUUGAAGGGCGACCUUCCCAGGGUUCGAAUCCCUGCCUCUCCGCCA